Molecule: long non-coding RNA, 904 nt
Organism: Hermetia illucens (black soldier fly)
Lineage: Eukaryota; Metazoa; Arthropoda; Insecta; Diptera; Stratiomyidae
Exons: 3
Source: RefSeq, a predicted model, not a curated record
AUCGCUAAUGCCGUUCUUUUCCCGCCUCGCGCACGUUCGGCACACAAAGGCCCAAAAGGUGAGGCAAGUGGAGCUAAGUAACUGGAAAAGCGCCGCAAAGCAAAGUCAAAUCCGAAGCCAAAUCACAAAGCAAUAAGUCAUUCACAGUAAAUAUUGUCUGUACCCAACCGGCAUCGUAUUAUCAUCGCCAGGUAUCCAUUGCCACCAAACGAGCGCACUGCCGACCCAGCCUUAAUUGAAAAACCCAACACGUUGAUUAAAUAUCGAGUGUGUGAAGUUCCGGCCAGAUGAUAAUCGACGCGCACGUUAUCACAACACCUGUAAACACCGGGCGAAGGGGUCGCUCGCGGUCUAUUACCGGCGAGGGGGUGUGGCGGUGAUGUAACACCUCCGAAUAUUGUCCCGGAAAAUCGUUCGAAUUACGGCAACACCACCGGUGGUUGCAGGUGAGCGCAUAAUUCUUGCCAGUGGGGAGCGGCUCUGCCGGGGGUGGUGGUUGGUGAGAGUAAACCUAGCUCGGACGGUUUAGCGAACUGCAAGCGUGCAAAGCUUCGAAUGAGCUAUGCGAGAUUUACAUUGACUCCGAGCGUUAGUUUUGUUUUGGGUUGAAAAGCAGGAAACAUUACGCUUCAACACAUUCAACCCGUACAGUGAAAGGCGAAAAUAUAUCCACAUCUAAAAUUAUCAAGUGGAGUAGAUCGUGGCUGGGAAAUUGGCCGACUUUGAAAACAAAACUUGGAAAAAGUUUUUGCAAUUUUGUACGUCGUUUUUGUUCGUAUGUUUGGAUUACAAAAACGAGUACACAGGAAAGAAAAGGCAUUUUGGAAGCUGCUUCCAUAUUACCAUGUCACGAAAAUAUUUCUCUAAGCACAAAAUGGUAAUUUUUGACUGUUUACAUGUUUGA